GUGUCCAAGUGCUCCUUGACUGGGACCAUGGCCCGUAGAGGGUGAUAGGCCCGUGAGACCGUUGGAUUGCUGCGCUGGCUUUUCCCUAGAGUCGAGUUGUUUGGGAGUACAGCUCAAAGUGCGAGGUAAACUCCUCGUAAGGCUAAAUAUGACCCCGAUACCGAUAGCGAACCAGUACCGUGAGGGAAAGUUGAAAAGCACUUUGAAGAGAGAGUUCAAGACUACGUGAAACUGUGUAGUAGUAAACGGAUGGGCUCUCGAAGUCGGCGUUGACGGGUCAUGGUGUCGGCCGGUGAGUCUGGGGGUUGUUGAUCUGCAAAGACUUCACUCUUAGGUCGCGCUGGUUGCCGCUUGCACUCCGUUGGCGCCUCACGCUACGAACCGUUCGGACCGGACCGAGGCUGUGGGUGAAGUUUCAGGCCUAGCUUGGAGCCCCGCAUUCCUGGMUCUGGACCGGACGGGUAAUGGAGCGGUCUCUUAUAGAGAGUGUCUUAAUGGCACGGGCUGCAUCUCUGUGCGAAGUAGGUCGGCGGCCCCUCCGACCCGUCUUGNAACACGGAC
This 561-nucleotide ribosomal RNA is filed under the name Oithona nana. Its description in RNAcentral is "eukaryotic LSU rRNA". It matches the Rfam family "Eukaryotic large subunit ribosomal RNA", at positions 177 to 666 of the family's 3401-position model. Lineage: Eukaryota; Metazoa; Arthropoda; Copepoda; Cyclopoida; Oithonidae. The record is from RNAcentral.